CGCGAGUCAUUGGGUUGUCCUACAUGGGAACGAUGAAACCUAGAGGCGCAAUGAAAGUGAAGGUCGACCCUAGGUCGACCGAGGGAGGAUGGCUCGGGUUCGCCCUGGUCCGCACUCCCGGGGCGUCUCGCGGUCAUUAGAACCGGAGGCGCACCCAGAGCGUACACGUUGGGACCCGAAAGAUGGUGAAGUAUGCCUGGUCAGGACGAAGUCAGGGGAAACCCUGAUGGASGUCCGUAUCGAUUCUGACGUUCAAAUCGAUCGUCGGAACUGGGUAUAGGGGCGAAAGACUAAUCGAACCAUCUAGUAGCUGGUUCCCUCCGAAGUUUCCCUCAGGAUAGCUGGCACUCGCUCGAUAUUAUAAGCGUGCGAGUCUCAUCUGGUAAAGCGAAUGAUUAGAGGCCUUGGGGCCGAAACGACCUCAACCUAUUCUCAWWCUUUAAAUGGGUGAGAUCUCUGGCUUGCUUGAAAGUUGAAGCCAAGAGAUUACGGAUCAGAGUGCCAAGUGGGCCAAUUUUGGUAAGCAGAACUGGCGCUGUGGGAUGAACCAAACGCCGAGUUAAGGCGCCUAAGUCGACGCUUAUGGGAUACCAUGAAAGGCGUUGGUUGACUUAAGACAGCAGGACGGUGG
Molecule: ribosomal RNA, 631 nt
Filed under: Ceratosolen fusciceps
Lineage: Eukaryota; Metazoa; Arthropoda; Insecta; Hymenoptera; Agaonidae
Description: partial large subunit ribosomal RNA
Rfam family: Eukaryotic large subunit ribosomal RNA
Source: RNAcentral